AGUGAAUCAUCGAAUCUUUGAACGCACAUUGCGCCCGCUAGUAUUCUAGCGGGCAUGCCUGUUCGAGCGUCAUUUCAACCCUCAAGCACUGCUUGGUGUUGGGGCCCUACAGCUUCUGUAGGCCCUGAAAACUAGUGGCGGGCUCGCUAUAACUCCGAGCGUAGUAGUAACAUCUCGCUUAGGACGUGAUGGCGGGAUCCGGCCGUUAAACCCCCCAAUUUUCUGAAGGUUGACCUCGGAUCAGGUAGGAAUACCCGCUGAACUUAA
This 267-nucleotide unclassified non-coding RNA is filed under the name Cordana terrestris. RNAcentral describes it as "sequence contains ITS1". The stretch from base 1 to 72 matches the Rfam family "5.8S ribosomal RNA", at positions 83 to 154 of the family's 154-position model. Lineage: Eukaryota; Fungi; Ascomycota; Sordariomycetes; Coniochaetales; Cordanaceae. The record is from RNAcentral.